AAAAAAAAUAUUACCUGGGUAGUAUAUAGUUAUUUUCUUGAAACCCAAAGAGUUUGGCGGUAUCUCAGCCUAGUUAGAGGAGCUUGUUCCGUAAUCGAUAAUCCGCGAAAAAUCUUACAUACUCUCGUAGGCAGUUUAUAUACCGUCGUUGUCAGAUAAUGUUAAAAGAUAUAUAAUUAUCUAAAUAUAAUAAAAUAUAAUAUAUCAGAUCAAGGUGUAAUUUAUGGGUAUGAGGUGAAUGAGCUACAAUUUAUACUGUAUAAAUACGAAAAUUAAUUUUAAAUUAGUUAGUGGAAGGUGGAUUUAAUAGUAAUUGUGCUUUUAGUAAGUUGUAAUGAUAAAAGCUCUGAGAUAUGU
This 357-nucleotide ribosomal RNA is filed under the name Gonodactylus smithii. RNAcentral describes it as "partial 12S ribosomal RNA". The record is from RNAcentral. Lineage: Eukaryota; Metazoa; Arthropoda; Malacostraca; Stomatopoda; Gonodactylidae.